GCGGAUAUUUUUUUCAUUUUCGCGCACAACUUAAAAUACAACACAAAACUCACUCUCUCUCACAAACACUCCAAACAGUACUGCAACUCAAACCUUUGUUCAUCAACCCCACCACCCAUCAACCCUUUCACCUACUCCUCUCCUCCUCACAAAUCACAUUCACCAACCAUCUUUCUUCGCCUCACAGCCCUUAAUCGAACUCAUAGUCUCACUCAUUCUCGAUUGUUCUCUCUGUCGAACACACCACCGCCCACCUUCAUCUUUACCCAUAACCCGUCUUAACACCAUCUCAUAUUUACCGAGAACCCGUCGAACUCUUCAAACCAAUGGAAUGAAACCAGAAAUCAAUUGAGAUUUCGAUUGUGUUGUGUCUUUGAAGCAUAUUGAGGAUCCAGUCCAGGAGCAUGCAAAAGGGGUUGAUCAGAGUAUUGGUGAGGAACAAGAUUUCCAGCUUUUGGAUCCGAGCUCUUCUCAAGCUUCUGAAUUUUUCUACUGAUUAUUUACUGAGCAUAUUCAUAGAUUAUCCUCACCUCUCAUGAAUUAGGUUAGUUUACUUCGUCAUGAUUAUUAUGGUAGAGAUAUAAAAGUAGUUAAAUUGUUGUGUGGUUAUAAGAAGUUAAAUUGUUGAUUGUGGCUAUAAGUACUUAUAUAUUAUGGCCUGCUAAAAGUAGUCCUGGUUUUUGCUCAGCUUGGUGUUUGAGUAAGGUACAUCACAUACUCCUGCAUCAUCAAUUAUUGAGUUAGGAUAUUGAGUAAGAUGCAUUGUUGAAUUCAUUUUGUAUACCAUGUAAUCUUACUUUAGCUUCGUUAGAAUGCUCGAGGUCAACCAGUUGAGAAAGAAAGCCAAGGUUUUGUCGGUUACCUUGGAGUCAUCGUUCGUCGGGAGGUUCCAAUUUGUAUGGAAAAUUAGAGAAAAAAGCUUAGGUUUGUUAGUUAUUUUAGGUUUGUCAUCGUUCAUAUAUAUGUAUUGUGCACGAACUUUGCAUUUUAUGUAAGUGUACAUUAGAUGUCAUUUCUAAUCAAAUUUAUUAUGAACACCUUAUUGUUUAUUUCUAUUAA
Long non-coding RNA from Medicago truncatula (barrel medic), 1059 nucleotides. RefSeq lists it as uncharacterized. Lineage: Eukaryota; Viridiplantae; Streptophyta; Magnoliopsida; Fabales; Fabaceae. The transcript is spliced from 3 exons. The record is from RefSeq and is a predicted model, not a curated record.